AUUGAACGCUGGCGGCAGGCCUAACACAUGCAAGUCGAGCGGAUGAAGGGAGCUUGCUCCUGGAUUCAGCGGCGGACGGGUGAGUAAUGCCUAGGAAUCUGCCUGGUAGUGGGGGAUAACGUCCGGAAACGGGCGCUAAUACCGCGUACGGCCUGAGGGAGAAAGUGGGGGAUCUUCGGACCUCACGCUAUCAGAUGAGCCUAGGUCGGAUUAGCUAGUUGGUGGGGUAAAGGCCUACCAAGGCGACGAUCCGUAACUGGUCUGAGAGGAUGAUCAGUCACACUGGAACUGAGACACGGUCCAGACUCCUACGGGAGGCAGCAGUGGGGAAUAUUGGACAAUGGGCGAAAGCCUGAUCCAGCCAUGCCGCGUGUGUGAAGAAGGUCUUCGGAUUGUAAAGCACUUUAAGUUGGGAGGAAGGGCAGUAAGUUAAUACCUUGCUGUUUUGACGUUACCAACAGAAUAAGCACCGGCUAACUUCGUG
Molecule: ribosomal RNA, 484 nt
Filed under: uncultured bacterium
Lineage: Bacteria
Description: partial 16S ribosomal RNA
Rfam family: Bacterial small subunit ribosomal RNA
Source: RNAcentral